Molecule: small nucleolar RNA, 135 nt
Organism: Poecilia formosa (Amazon molly)
Lineage: Eukaryota; Metazoa; Chordata; Actinopteri; Cyprinodontiformes; Poeciliidae
Source: Ensembl
UUGCACUUUUUGAACUGGAAUGGCCCCUUCCUUAGCCACUCCCAGUAGUGAAAAUAAGUGCUACAUUAAAUCUUGUCAUAACUGGGGUUUCUUGGCAUUUUCUACCAAGAUGCUCUUUUAAAGCAAGACACAAAU